GAUGAACGCUAGCUACAGGCUUAACACAUGCAAGUCGAGGGGAAACGGCAUCGAAAGCUUGCUUUUGAUGGGCGUCGACCGGCGCACGGGUGAGUAACGCGUAUCCAACCUGCCCAUCACUUGGGAAUAACCUUGCGAAAGUAAGACUAAUGCCCAAUGACAUCCCACGAAGGCAUCCGAAUGGGAUUAAAGAUUUAUCGGAGAUGGAUGGGGAUGCGUCUGAUUAGCUUGUGGGCGGGGUGACGGCCCACCAAGGCAACGAUCAGUAGGGGUUCUGAGAGGAAGGUCCCCCACAUUGGAACUGAGACACGGUCCAAACUCCUACGGGAGGCAGCAGUGAGGAAUAUUGGACAAUGGGCGAGAGCCUGAACCAGCCAAGUAGCGUGCAGGAUGACGGCCCUAUGGGUUGUAAACUGCUUUUAUAAGGGAAUAAAGUGGGUCACGUGUGACUUUUUGCAUGUACCUUAUGAAUAAGGACCGGCUAAUUCCGUGC
RNAcentral lists this ribosomal RNA (493 nucleotides) under uncultured bacterium. RNAcentral describes it as "partial 16S ribosomal RNA". It matches the Rfam family "Bacterial small subunit ribosomal RNA", at positions 28 to 508 of the family's 1533-position model. The record is from RNAcentral.